CCUACGGGUGGCUGCAGUGGGGAAUAUUGCACAAUGGGGGAAACCCUGAUGCAGCGACGCCGCGUGAGUGAAGAAGUAAUUCGUUACGUAAAGCUCUAUCAGCAGGGAAGAAAUACUUACCUUACGGUCAGCAGACGGUACCGGAGUAAGAAGCCCCGGCUAACUACGUACCAGCAGCCGCGGUAAUACGUAGGGGGCAAGCUUUAUCCGGAUUUACUGGGUGUAAAGGGAGCGUAGACGGUGCGGCAAGUCUGGAGUGAAAUGCCGGAGCUUAACGGCGGAACUGCUUUGGAAACUGGAGAGCUGGAGUGCGGGAGGGGUAAGCGGAAUUCCUAGUGUAGCGGUGAAAUGCGUAGAUAUUAGGAGGAACACCAGUGGCGAAGGCGGCUUACUGGACUGUAACUGACGUUGAGGCUCGAAAGCGUGGGGAGCAAACAGGAUUAGAUACCCUUGUAGUC
RNAcentral lists this ribosomal RNA (458 nucleotides) under uncultured bacterium. RNAcentral's name for it is "partial 16S ribosomal RNA". It matches the Rfam family "Bacterial small subunit ribosomal RNA", at positions 338 to 795 of the family's 1533-position model. The record is from RNAcentral.